This 484-nucleotide ribosomal RNA is filed under the name uncultured bacterium. RNAcentral describes it as "partial 16S ribosomal RNA". It matches the Rfam family "Bacterial small subunit ribosomal RNA", at positions 28 to 523 of the family's 1533-position model. The record is from RNAcentral.
GACGAACGCUGGCGGCGUGCUUAACACAUGCAAGUCGAACGAGACCCCGCUUCGGUGGGGUGUUCUAGUGGCGAACGGGUGAGUAACACGUGGGCAACCUGCCCCCGGCUCUGGGAUAACUCCAAGAAAUUGGGGCUAAUACCGGAUAUGACCGCUGACCGCAUGGUCUGGUGGUGGAAAGAUUUAUCGGCUGGGGAUGGGCCCGCGGCCUAUCAGCUUGUUGGUGGGGUAGUGGCCUACCAAGGCGACGACGGGUAGCCGGCCUGAGAGGGUGACCGGCCACACUGGGACUGAGACACGGCCCAGACUCCUACGGGAGGCAGCAGUGGGGAAUAUUGCGCAAUGGGCGGAAGCCUGACGCAGCGACGCCGCGUGGGGGAUGACGGCCUUCGGGUUGUAAACCUCUUUCAGCAGGGACGAAGCCGCAAGGUGACGGUACCUGCAGAAGAAACACCGGCCAACUACGUGCCAGCAGCCACAGUAA